CCAUCGAGACAACCAACCCAGGCCAGCGAACAACCCCAUCGUUCCCUUAUUUUCUCCUCUGCCUCCCGCGAACCCUCGCCGCCGCCACCAACGCCGGGCGAUUCCGGCUACUUCCGACGGCCCUCGCUGGAGCGCAACACACCCACGAGCUCUCCUCGCAACGGUUCUUCCUUCCCUCUGGCAAAAUCCGCUCCUCGCGGCAGCAAGCCCUCGCGCACGACCCCUCCCUGCGGCUAGGGUUUCGGCUGCGUCCAACUCCGGCGCGGUGAGAUCUCCUCUUCCCUCGAUUCAUGCCCUCUCCUCCCCCCUUCUUCCUUCUCUCCCCGCCCUUUUUUCCCCUUCUGUUCCAUUACUUUCCUUCCUCCGUGCACUACUGCUCGCAACCUGUUUGUGUUUAUGCCCAGCAGCCUUUUUUCCUUCUGUUCCACUACGUUCCUUCCUCCGUGCACAACCUGUUGAUGUUAUGUAUAGAAUAAACAUAAGUGUUGUGUAAUUACACAAUGCGGUGCGGUCUUGGGUUAAAAUCUUGGAGUGUAUAGACUACAGAGUAUGUAAGCCUGUCGUAAAUAACCUUAUGCAUGUGAAAGAUAAGUGUUGUGUAAUUUAUAUUAUUGGCAGCAAGGUUUUAUGCGGUGGAGAAAACAACUAACAGUGUUGCUGCAUGGAGAGACAGGCUAUUUGUUGUUUACAUCCUUCAGUUGCAGUGUUUAUGACUGGUGUUUUUGGCCAAAUUCGAUUGUAGCAGCUGUUAGUUUUAAGCGUGCUCUGUAUAUGCCAUCAUAAUGUGUCUGCUGUCGCUAUUUGGAGAAGAACAGAGCUGACAGCACAUCUAGAGUGUUUGUGACAGUUCAAAGGAUCAAGGUGUACUGCAUGUUGCAUACAAAGUGAUUGGCAGGGAGGAGUAGGGUGCGCUAGUUAGAAGAUGAGGACGGCGUCAGGGUGAGGGAUAUACAGCUGAAGCACUCGUUAGCCUGCAGAUUGUUGGGACCUGAAGCUGGAGGUUAAUUUGGCCAAGUGUUUAAUUUGUUAUAGUCAGAGGAUGAAGAUAAGGAACACGAAGCAGAGCUAGUAGAUCAGGCCAUCCUCACUGCAUAAUCUGGUAUCAUUUUUCCUAUUACAUAUUAAGUCUCACUGUGGUAAUUAUUACUAUUAGCACGAUUUGUUGUGUCGUGAUCUGCUAGCAGCUGAUAUUAAAGUUCAUUCUUUCAUCCUGGAAAUAAAAAGUAGUGUUUGUGAUAUGCCACUGAUAUCAAUGGUAAUCAAUACUGUUCACUUAUUCAGAAGGCAAUUAAUCUGAUAGACCUAGCCGAUAGCUCAUGCUUUGUUCAUGUACCCUUCUUGUUAAAUGGGCAGCUCAUGGUUCUAUGUAGCGCAAUAUGUUUAAAUUUUCUGGGGGGUACCAUUUUUUACUCUGAUUAAGCAACAAAAGUGCUCAGAAACCUGCAUACAUAACCCUGAACAUUUAUGGUCUCUAUUGUUAUGUCUUGCUGUGUACGUUUAAUGCCUGUACAUACAUGGUUGUGUUUUGGUGGGUCUGGUCCUUCUUGAGACUGGAAUAAGCGACUCUUCAGAAGGAAAGUGUAGGGUAACUUUUAUUGCACAAGUUAACUUGAGACUGGUUAAAAAAAAGAUUGAACGAUGUGCUGCCUUGCAGUGUCUGCGACAAGAGUGGAGGCCUCCUUUGCGGCUUAAAUGGUCGGUAUUCAGUGGACUAUAGAUCUGUGGCGGUUAAAUUGGUUAAAUUUAUGACUGCUUUUGUUUCUAUUUGACAGCAUUUUGGUGUUGGGUGGUACGCUCGGUUUUCAUCAUUCAACUCUAAUUGUACGCUUUCUAAAAAUGCUAUCUUUUCCUCGCAAAACGAAGAGAUGAUCAACUUUAGGAAUUGCAACUUUAUCCAUGGUAACCAUGUGCAUUCCUGGACCAUUUAGUUUGAAUAGCCAGUGAGGAAUUAAGCAUAUAUUUUUGGCAUGAGCCCCUUUAAAUUGCUAGAUGAGAAGGAAUCUUAACUUAAUGAGCGUGAAUUGUAAUAUAUUAUUUGGUUGAACUGAUGCAAUUUGCGUACUAACAAGUUUUCACUUUCCCGACAUGGGCGCAGAGGUGAUCGACGCUGACUAGCGCGGCUGGUAAAGGGUACAAUGUUGGUAAUACAUCUGCUGUUGGUGAUGCCUUCUUGCUUGCUUGCUUGCGAAUGACCUGGGAAUUAUUUCUACUUGGUGCACAGCCUUUGCUUGUUGCAAUUUGCCUCAAAAGCUUGUAUUCAGAAUCUAUAACAAGAUUUCGUACUGCCUUGGAAUUCCUUAUCUCCUUUCACUUGUGGUCAUGCCUAGCACUAUCUUGGUUCAUUGUUUAAUUCCAGGAUUUGUGAGUUCCUAGUAGGGAACACAUGGACACGAAGCUGCGGCGGCAACGACGAUGAUAUCAACAUGGGGCUGCGGCGGCGACGAUGACGACGAUGAGGUCGACAUCGACACAGGGCUGCGGCGUGACGACGAUGACGGCAUCCUCACAGUGCUGCUGCGGCGGCGAUGAUGACUGACAUCAACACCAUCAAACACGGGCUUGUGGACGCGCCGGCGACGAUGACCUAUAGGCGUGGUGUAUAUUGUGUGUGUAUAUAUAUAUGUAUGUAUGUAUUAAUUAUCUAUAAUAGAUAUGUAUGAUUGACUGUAUGCAUAAAAUGUGCGUAUUAUAAAAUGUA
Triticum aestivum (bread wheat) is the source of this 2698-nucleotide long non-coding RNA. RefSeq lists it as uncharacterized. Lineage: Eukaryota; Viridiplantae; Streptophyta; Magnoliopsida; Poales; Poaceae. The transcript is spliced from 2 exons. The record is from RefSeq and is a predicted model, not a curated record.